AUUGAACGCUGGCGGCAUGCCUUACACAUGCAAGUCGAACGGCAGCACGGGAGCAAUCCUGGUGGCGAGUGGCGAACGGGUGAGUAAUAUAUCGGAACGUGCCCGGUCGUGGGGGAUAACGUAGCGAAAGCUACGCUAAUACCGCAUACGAUCUACGGAUGAAAGCGGGGGAUCGCAAGACCUCGCGCGAUUGGAGCGGCCGAUAUCAGAUUAGGUAGUUGGUGAGGUAAAGGCUCACCAAGCCGACGAUCUGUAGCUGGUCUGAGAGGACGACCAGCCACACUGGGACUGAGACACGGCCCAGACUCCUACGGGAGGCAGCAGUGGGGAAUUUUGGACAAUGGGCGCAAGCCUGAUCCAGCAAUGCCGCGUGCAGGAUGAAGGCCUC
This 388-nucleotide ribosomal RNA is filed under the name uncultured bacterium. Its description in RNAcentral is "bacterial SSU rRNA". It matches the Rfam family "Bacterial small subunit ribosomal RNA", at positions 29 to 418 of the family's 1533-position model. The record is from RNAcentral.